GAUGAAGAACGCAGCGAAAUGCGAUAAGUAAUGUGAAUUGCAGAAUUCAGUGAAUCAUCGAAUCUUUGAACGCACAUUGCGCCCGCCAGCAUUCUGGCGGGCAUGCCUGUUCGAGCGUCAUUUCAACCCUCGACUUCCCUUUGGGGAAAUCGGCGUUGGGGAGCGGCUGUAUACCGCCGGCCCCGAAAUGAAGUGGCGGCCCGUCCGCGGCGACCUCUGCGUAGUAAUCCAACUCGCACCGGAACCCCGACGUGGCCACGCCGUAAAACCCCCGACUUCUGAACGUUGACCUCGGAUCAGGUAGGAAUACCCGCUGAACUUAAGCAUAUCAAUAAGCGGAGGA
This 343-nucleotide unclassified non-coding RNA is filed under the name soil metagenome. RNAcentral describes it as "partial contains 5.8S ribosomal RNA, internal transcribed spacer 2, and large subunit ribosomal RNA". The stretch from base 1 to 120 matches the Rfam family "5.8S ribosomal RNA", at positions 35 to 154 of the family's 154-position model. The record is from RNAcentral.